Molecule: ribosomal RNA, 16 nt
Filed under: Pseudocercospora cotoneastri
Lineage: Eukaryota; Fungi; Ascomycota; Dothideomycetes; Mycosphaerellales; Mycosphaerellaceae
Also listed under: 20 other names
Description: partial 18S ribosomal RNA
Source: RNAcentral
GGCGGAGGGAUCAUUA